AGCCAGAAAUGGCAGGCCGGGACCUUUCGAGGUUGUAGAGCCACCGAAGAAGAAGAAGAAGUACUGAGUGUAGUGAUCGUGAUAUACAGGGUGUUCGAGAUAAAUUUGACACCUGGAUUUUGGGUGUAUAUCUCAGGGUUGAGUUGACGUAUCGAAAUGAAUGAUAUGUCAUUCGAUUGCUAAAAGUUGUGCGAACAAGUGUAAAAAAUGUCUCGCUCCAUAAAUAUGUGGAACCCGUCCGAAUUGUACAAGCGCGUAACGUGUGUUAUGAAGUUUCGUGCCGGCCAUACGAAUGCCGAAAUUCGGAAGGCGGCGAUGUGUUCGCUGAACACCGUAUAAACAAUACGCGUACAGCUCGAGGAGUGUGGUGAAGACGUGGAUAGUGUUAUUGUUCGCAAACAGCAUAGCAGGCGGUCGGAUUGUGUGCGGACCGACGCGUUCCUGGCCGGAUUGCCCUGGCACGAGACGGACCCUGGCGCGAGACGUUGGCGUGGCCCCGAGCACUGUCAAGGUGGCGUUAAAUGAGGACCUGCGGUACGCGUCGUACAAGCGACGUAGGGGACAGCUCAUAACAGAAAAAACGCGCGAAAAGCGGCUUGCCAACGCUAAGCGCUUGCUGAGCUGGCUGAAGCACCCGGCGCAGCCAGGCACGUUGUGGUUCUUCUCUGACGAGAAGAACUUUUGUUAAGACCAGAAGCACAACGUACAGAACAACCGCUGGCUCGCUUACUGUGGUGCUGAUGUGCCCCGUGUGCCGCAGACUAAGUUUCCUCAGACGGUGAUGGUGUUCGGGUGCGUCUUGUCGGAGGGAGACGUGAUGCCGCCUCACAUCUUCCCCCAGGGCCUGCGGCUGAAUGCUGACGGGUACAUUGACCUGCUGGCCACCGUGGUGAAGCCGUGGAUUGAGAUGGUGGCAGGUACGUUUGGCAGCAGGAUUCUGCACCAUGCCAUACGGCCGUCAAAACACGCCAAUGGCUCACUGCCAAUUUCGACCGAUUCGACCAGCACCGACGUUUGGCCACCCAGCUCCCCUGACUUUAAUCCUAUGGAUUACUUUGUCUGAGACACAGUUGAGCGGGACAUCAACAGGGCGUCCUGCAAUACCAAAGCGGAGCUGGUGGCCAGAAUAAAGGCCAUGUUUGCAGCCAUCCCCAGAGACAUGGUUGUCCAGGACGCAGAGGGGGGGUAGUUCGAAUAAAAAAUGCGGCAAACAUGGUCUUUUGUAUGGGCCAUUAUGGAGCCGGAUGGGAUUUGAACUCCGGUAAUGCUGUGUGAUGACUGAAAUCAAUUUCACGAAGUAUUAGAUUAGUAACAAAUUUAUCUUCUGUUGAUUGUGUUAAUGAACGAACCUGGAUUCGAUCUCGAGCUCUCGGUAGAUUGUGGCUAGUGGCGUCAAUAUCCACGCUGCAGGGCUGGGCAUCGAAUCCCGUCCAAACUACCUCUCAGUACUAAUUACUUCCCAGUUUCAGAUAAAAUUAAGUCAAAGAAGCUAAAAACGAUAGGCCAAGACCACUCAAGUUUGCAACACACGUGACACUGAACAACCCAAUACAAUUCAAUGAGUGCGUUUCUACGUUUACCUCCUCCAUUUCCCUGCCCGAUUGUUAGCUCCUUUGCCCGUUGUCGCAAGUUCUUAAUGUCUCGGCGUGCACGGGUAAAGGAAUAAAAUUUCGUGCUCCCAAAUAGGCUGACCCACGCUGACAGAACGCAGAAAAGUCCGCUCAACUUUCCGCAGGUGGCAGUGCUCAACGCGCGUUUGCGUCCCUCCCCAAACGGCAAAGGGUUUGGCGUCCGUGGCUCAUUGCAAGUCCGGUGCAAGCGCGAUGACUCGGACGCCCUUGGGGUGCAGGAAGCGUGGGACGCAUGUUUAUGUGUUUCUUGCCGCCUACCGUGGUGGUUGGAGGUGAUGCCCGGCGGUAUGUAUACCUGUUGUACGUAACAAUGUACUAUAAAUUAUCAUUUGAUUUUGAUUGUUGAAUUCCCUGGCCCGGGCAAAACCUGAG
Anopheles stephensi (Asian malaria mosquito) is the source of this 2003-nucleotide long non-coding RNA. RefSeq lists it as uncharacterized. Lineage: Eukaryota; Metazoa; Arthropoda; Insecta; Diptera; Culicidae. The record is from RefSeq and is a predicted model, not a curated record. The transcript is spliced from 3 exons.